AUUGAACGCUGGCGGAAUGCUUUACACAUGCAAGUCGAACAGCAGCACGGGGGCAACCCUGGUGGCGAGUGGCGAACGGGUGAGUAAUACAUCGGAACGUGCCCAGUCGUGGGGGAUAACGUAGCGAAAGUUACGCUAAUACCGCAUACGAUCUACGGAUGAAAGCGGGGGACCGUAAGGCCUCGCGCGAUUGGAGCGGCCGAUGUCAGAUUAGGUAGUUGGUGAGGUAAAGGCUCACCAGGCCGACGAUCUGUAGCUGGUCUGAGAGGACGACCAGCCCAACUGGGACUGAGACACGGCCCAGACUCCUACGGGAGGCAGCAGUGGGGAAUUUUGGACAAUGGGCGCAAGCCUGAUCCAGCCAUUCCGCGUGCAGGACGAAGGCCUUCGGGUUGUAAACUGCCUUUGUACGGAACGAAAAGGCUCUGGUUAAUACCUGGGGCUCAUGACGGUACCGUAAGAAUAAGCACCGGCUAACUACGUGCCAGCCGCCGCCGUAA
Molecule: ribosomal RNA, 500 nt
Filed under: uncultured bacterium
Lineage: Bacteria
Description: partial 16S ribosomal RNA
Rfam family: Bacterial small subunit ribosomal RNA
Source: RNAcentral